Molecule: ribosomal RNA, 253 nt
Filed under: uncultured bacterium
Lineage: Bacteria
Description: partial 16S ribosomal RNA
Rfam family: Bacterial small subunit ribosomal RNA
Source: RNAcentral
UACGGGGGGGGCAAGCGUUGUUCGGAAUUACUGGGCGUAAAGGGCUCGUAGGCGGCCAACUAAGUCAGACGUGAAAUCCCUCGGCUUAACCGGGGAACUGCAUCUGAUACUGGAUGGCUUGAGAUUGGGAGAGGGAUGCGGAGUUCCAGGUGUAGCGGUGAAAUGCGUAGAUAUCUGGAGGAACACCGGUGGCGAAGGCGGCAUCCUGGACCAAAUCUGACGCUGAGGAGCGAAAGCCAGGGGAGCAAACGGG